AGAGAAUGCUGAUGAUGAAAACGAUGGAGUUACUAAUAGCAAAAUAGCAGAGGAGGAUUUUGGGAAGAGCUUUGCUGAGAAAUAUUGAAUUAUAUUAGAUACUUCCCCCUCCAGUAUUGUCCGAGGGCAUCUUUAUUUUCUCUUAGAGUGUUGAUAGAAAAUACAUUGUAUGUGUUUCAUUUACGUGACACAUUCCCAGAGACUCAAAGUAUCUUGAGCUGUGUGUUUGGUACAAUACAAUAAGGUUAGGACACACAGUCAGACUGAGUCAGUGGUAUAUACAUGUACUGGUACAUGU
Molecule: long non-coding RNA, 298 nt
Filed under: Amphimedon queenslandica
Lineage: Eukaryota; Metazoa; Porifera; Demospongiae; Haplosclerida; Niphatidae
Description: uncharacterized LOC109591769, transcript variant X1
Source: RNAcentral